RNAcentral lists this ribosomal RNA (467 nucleotides) under uncultured bacterium. RNAcentral describes it as "partial 16S ribosomal RNA". It matches the Rfam family "Bacterial small subunit ribosomal RNA", at positions 29 to 507 of the family's 1533-position model. The record is from RNAcentral.
ACGAACGCUGGCGGCGUGCUUAACACAUGCCAGUCGAACGGAAAGGCCCUGCCUUUGUGGGGUGCUCGAGUGGCGAACGGGUGAGUAACACGUGAGUAACCUGCCCUUGACUUUGGGAUAACUUCAGGAAACUGGGGCUAAUACCGGAUAGGAGCUCCUGCUGCAUGGUGGGGGCUGGAAAGUUUCGGCGGUUGGGGAUGGACUCGCGGCUUAUCAGCUUGUUGGUGGGGUAGUGGCUUACCAAGGCUUUGACGGGUAGCCGGCCUGAGAGGGUGACCGGCCACAUUGGGACUGAGAUACGGCCCAGACUCCUACGGGAGGCAGCAGUGGGGAAUAUUGCACAAUGGGCGGAAGCCUGAUGCAGCAACGCCGCGUGCGGGAUGACGGCCUUCGGGUUGUAAACCGCUUUCGCCUGUGACGAAGCGUGAGUGACGGUAAUGGGUAAAGAAGCACCGGCUAACUACGUG